RNAcentral lists this small RNA (577 nucleotides) under Pongo abelii (Sumatran orangutan). RNAcentral's name for it is "retained intron". The record is from RNAcentral. Lineage: Eukaryota; Metazoa; Chordata; Mammalia; Primates; Hominidae.
GAUCUCUCUCCAGAGGAGCAAUGGAGGGUCGAGCACGCACGCAUGCAUGCCAAGCACCGUGGCCAUGAAGCUAUGCAUGCUGAAAUGGUCCUCAUCCUCAUCGCUACCUUGGUGGUGGCCCAGCUGCUCCUGGUGCAGUGGAAGCAGAGGCACCCACGCUCCUACAAUAUGGUGACCCUCUUUCAGAUGUGGGUUGUUCCCCUCUAUUUCACAGUGAAGCUGCACUGGUGGAGGUUCCUAGUGAUCUGGAUCUUGUUCUCUGCUGUCACAGCCUUUGUUACCUUCCGAGCCACCCGAAAACCUCUAGUACAGACAACCCCAAGGUGAGAGUUUAAGUAGUGGGAAGAGCCAGGUUUUCUGAAGCUAAUGGGUUGGAAUGCAUGGGAGGAGCAUAGGUUUAGACUGAAAAAAAUCCUAGUUUUGUCUGCCAAAAUUAUUUGGCAUGGGGCCCCUCUAAAACAAGCUGAUUGGGAGAACCCCUCCCCUAUUCAUUGAUUAAAAACCUCAAAUAUUUCUGUAUAGCUUAUUUUAUGGUUUCAAGGUAUUUUUAUAUUAAAGGCAAACAAAAAUAAGCAAA